GAUGAACGCUGGCGGCGUGCUUAACACAUGCAAGUCGAACGAUGAAGCCCAGCUUGCUGGGUGGAUUAGUGGCGAACGGGUGAGUAACACGUGAGUAACCUGCCCUUGAAUCUGGGAUAAGCCUGGGAAACUGGGUCUAAUACUGGAUAUGACUUCUCAUCGCAUGGUGGGGGGUGGAAAGAUUUAUUGGUCUUGGAUGGACUCGCGGCCUAUCAGCUUGUUGGUGAGGUAAUGGCUCACCAAGGCGACGACGGGUAGCCGGCCUGAGAGGGUGACCGGCCACACUGGGACUGAGACACGGCCCAGACUCCUACGGGAGGCAGCAGUGGGGAAUAUUGCACAAUGGGCGCAAGCCUGAUGCAGCGACGCCGCGUGAGGGAUGACGGCCUUCGGGUUGUAAACCUCUUUCAGUAGGGAAGAAGCGAGAGUGACGGUACCUGCAGAAGAAGCGCCGGCUAACUACGUG
RNAcentral lists this ribosomal RNA (466 nucleotides) under uncultured bacterium. RNAcentral's name for it is "partial 16S ribosomal RNA". It matches the Rfam family "Bacterial small subunit ribosomal RNA", at positions 28 to 507 of the family's 1533-position model. The record is from RNAcentral.